UUAGCCUCACCCAGUUUUCCACG
Molecule: microRNA, 23 nt
Filed under: Caenorhabditis elegans
Lineage: Eukaryota; Metazoa; Nematoda; Chromadorea; Rhabditida; Rhabditidae
Description: cel-miR-8205-3p
Source: miRBase by way of RNAcentral